RNAcentral lists this non-coding RNA (92 nucleotides) under uncultured Sporosarcina sp. RNAcentral describes it as "TPP riboswitch (THI element)". It matches the Rfam family "TPP riboswitch aptamer (THI element)", at positions 7 to 92 of the family's 105-position model. Rfam says of the family: Vitamin B(1) in its active form thiamin pyrophosphate (TPP) is an essential coenzyme that is synthesised by coupling of pyrimidine and thiazole moieties in bacteria. The record is from RNAcentral. Lineage: Bacteria; Bacillati; Bacillota; Bacilli; Caryophanales; Caryophanaceae.
CACUGGGGGAGUCUUUGUAAAAGACUGAGACGCGUAUAGAUAUGCGGACCCUUGGAACCUGAUCUGGCUCAUACCAGCGGAGGGAAGUGGAU